AUUUCCAUAACAAUAUUUUCCCAAAAUAUAUUAUCAAAUAUUAUAUUAAAAACAUCUACUUCUUUUUUGUUUUCACCUAACUUACUCAAAGUUGCCACUUUUAUACCACAAAUCUCUGUAUAGUUUCAAAUUUUUGGUACAUUAGUUUCUUCUUUCCAAAUCCAUAGCUCUAGUUGUUGAUGAUUACUGUGAUCUUCGUCGUCGGUAUCAUCUUCGAUAACCAGUCGCUUACAACGUUCUCGUACAGAAAGUGAAAUAUCACUACUGUCACUAUCACUAUUUAAAAUAUCUAUUAAAUCACUUUUUGCGAUGUUAGCAGAACUUUCAAUGUCCUCAACAACGCUUAACAUUCUUUUUGAAGUUAUUUUUAGGGGUACCUUUCUAAUAUUUUUCAAGAAAAUAUACUGCACCUCCGAAUGCGGACAAGAAAAAAAAGCAUUUGUCGCAUGUAUCCCAACAAAUAUACAAAGUUUCACGUACAAAGUGCACGUGUUGUUUAUGUUUGGCCCGAAGGAUAUACCACGUCUCUAACACGACGUUGUAGGUUAAAAGCUUAAUGAUACAAUAAGGUUAAUUGAAAAUACUUAUAAACUGUAAACAACAAUGUGAUAUUGUAAAUAGUUAUAAUGUGGAAUAUACUUACGAAGACAAACUCAAGGAAAACAACUCAACAGCUUUCACUAAGCUAUGUUUUGUUACAAGUUGAGAUAUUUUGCAAAUUUUUAACCACAAUUUCUAUGGAUUAAAUUAAUGGAAGUCAUAUUCACAAGACACAAGUAUUCCAAGAUCUGGUUAAUGACUAAAUGUACAAAUGAAGGUGCAACAUCCCAUUGGAAGAUAAAGUACAUUAUUGGCAAACAGAUACAGGUACACAAUUUUCAAAGUUUUCAAAGAAGGCACAACAGCUAACUGGUUAAUCAGCAAUUGUAUACUCCAAUAAAUGUACUGUGGCACGCAAUAUGAUUUUUCUCAAAUAUUAAGUUUUCUGAAUGUGAGGUUGGCGGUAGCCAAAACUUUCAUCAUUGAACUCCUCUACUUACAAGUUUUCUAACAAUAUAUCAUGCACUCUAUGGACAUUAAAGUACUGAAUACUACAGUAUUUCAAAUUUAUUUACUAUGCAGAAAAAACAAUAUUACAUUUAUGUUUCCUUUAUAAAUGUUAUAUUUAUGAUUGUAUAUAUAAAAUGCUAUUUAUCAUAAGAAUAAGGUAAGAAGAGAAGAAACAUUUAUGUCAAAAUAGAAUAAAAACUAGAAUAGAAUAAAAGAUAGAAUAAAAAAAUAUUGAAAAACAGACAUUAUAUGUAUACAGAAGAAUUGAAUCCUGAAUCUUAGCAUAGGACUUUAACGGAUUACCAUCAUACUAUCGCAUUGUUUGUUAAAUACCACAGUUGAAUCACAUUUUAGCGUAGUAGUAAAAUUUCAAUCACUAAUGUUUCAAAAAAUAUUGGAUCUUUGCCCUUAUAAUGGAAUACUUUUGCAGAGUGAGGAUCUUCCCAUAUGCAGAAUUUUAACUAAAUCAGUAAUACAAAUGUCUUGCAGUUCCCUUGUUAUUUGUUAAUUAUGAAUUUACAUAUAUAUGAAUCGAUAUAAUUAUUUUUUUCUUUUCAUUGUGUUAAAUAGUUACAUUAACUAAGUCAUACUAGAGUAACUUAACACAUUAGCACCAUGACUCACAUAUAUGUCAUUUGGAUUCCUCUGCUAGAACCUGAAUGAUAUAUAUAGAUGAGUUUCUAAAUGCUCUGGUGCCAAUGUGUUAAAGGAUUAUAAGUUCUUUAAAAUACAAUUGGGGAGAGAGACAUUAUAAUUCUCACAAUCAUAAAUCAUAAAACAUUAAAUAAUUUCAGUUCACUAAUACAUAUAAAUUCCUAAAAGUAUAAUACAUUGAUUAAUAAAUAGACAAUCCUGAUAUUGUCUUGGCAAUAUAAUAACAAAUAUGAUAUAUUCAUUGCUACUUCUUUAACUGUUAUUUUAUAUAUGAUUUUGCACUAUAAAAUUAAUUUAUAUAAUUUUAUUCUUAUAAAAAU
Bombus terrestris (buff-tailed bumblebee) is the source of this 2024-nucleotide long non-coding RNA. RefSeq lists it as uncharacterized. The transcript has 4 exons. The record is from RefSeq and is a predicted model, not a curated record. Lineage: Eukaryota; Metazoa; Arthropoda; Insecta; Hymenoptera; Apidae.